ACUCAGAAGUUAUUUAUCAUUUUGACACUUGACUUUUGAUCUAGACUCCCUGUGCCUAUUGGGCAGUGAAAUCCAGCCCUUUCAGCUUGUUUCCAAUUCAUGCUGUGACUCAUGUGUGCAUAUGUAUAUAUCUAUAUAAACACACACACAGAGGGGCAUCUGUAUCCCUCUUGACUUGGCAUAUGAACUCAGGCUGCUGCUUUGAGUUCUGGCCUCAAUGUGGGAAGCAUUGGUUUCUGAAUAACCUAAGAUAUUCAGGCCACCUGCUAAGGAUUUAGAUACUGGAUUAAACUAAAAAACUUCAGUGCUCAAGAUGGCAAAGACUUAAAUAGAAUUUUUGUGUUCUUCAAACGCUUGAUCCUGAGCAAGGCGAGCAAAAGGGGAAGCAGUUCCCGGGUGUAAAGUCUGGAAGGGAUGACACCUUUGCUGCAUGUGAGUACAUUUGCCAAAGUGCUCACAGUUGGGAAAGGCUUAGAAACUUACCUCACCCUGUCCUGCUGCAGUUCAUCUAUCCAAUAACACCUUGCCAAGGUUUUGCACUAUGUGAUCUUUAUGUGAAAAAAAUGCAAACCAACAUUAAGUCAGUCAUAGAUGGCAGGACACAAAAAGGCAAUUUUCUGACAAAUACGAAUUCCACAUCCAGCAAGACUGUGAGAAACCUUACAAGCGCAGGGCCAGCUUUAUCCAAGAAAGUGACCUCUGGGGACGAGUAAAACUGAGAAGUAAGUUUUAGUUCAAAUUUUUCUGCUGUAUUUUAAAAAACACACUAUAAAUGUGAUUAGAGCAUGAGAAUCUAUUAGCAUGAUGGUAAAUUAAAUGCAAAUAUCAGCGUAAUUCUGGUUCCAAGAUAUUAAUUUUUGAAGCACUAGCUCUAGCCCCAAGCCCAGAUUCAAGUAACCGCGGUAACCUGAAGAUGAUGGAAAUAAUUCAAAGUCAACUCCAUAUGGACAGCCCUGCACCUUGCCUGAAAAGGACAUCCUAAAUGUCAGCCCCACUCAGGUUUUCCACUAGCUGCUCAUCCAGGCCUGCGUCCAGCCUGCCACCACACAAGCAAAGGAACACACAGAUGCCAAAAAGUGAAAAAUCAGCUGAAUGUUAUUGGAUGCAAGUCUUGUGACAACUCCACAGGGACCUGUAGAAGCCCUUGUUUGCUGCAGUGCUAAGACAGGACAUCACCCCAACUCUCACAGGCAUUUGUUACAAGCACAGGAGCCAACUGGUUACUGGACAGUUAAAAAAAAAUAAAAAAAAAUACAGAUGUGAGGACAAAAAUGCCAGACUUCAAAUGAACCCACUGGCAGUUGAAAAAUCAGAAGGUUUUUCAGGCCAUAAGAUGUAGGUAUCUUGUCAGGUACCGGAACAGGCUGCCCGAGGGUGUGGUUGAGUCACCAUCCCUGGAGGUGUAUAAAAGACGUGUAAGAUGUGGUGUUUAGGGACAUGGUUUAGUGGUGGACUUGGCAGUGCUAGGCUGACAGCUGGACUCAAUGAUCUUAAAGGUCUUUUCCAACCUAAACAAUCCUGUGAUUCUAUGAUCUUACAGGUUAUGUACGCCUGAAUAACCCGUGGGAAGGGACCCGGGAGCUGACCAGCUGCACAGUCAGCCAUGCCAGCCCUCUCCCAUGGGGACACCUCCCUUGGGGCUCCCAAGCCUGGUGCCCACCAGGGGCAGAUGGGGAGAGCAGCCCCCUCCUUUCCACCUUCGAACUCUGCUCAGCAUGCAGGGCCUUUGGAGUGAGGUGGCUCUAUCCUCACCUGUUUUUUUUGGAUCCCAGCACCAGCUUGUCACCUCUCUUCAUAGCUUUCCAUUCUUUUGUGCUUUGCCACCUUUGCAUUUUUACCAUUACCCCAUCCCACAUUCACAUUUCUAUAGCACCCCAGUUAUGCCCUGCGUUUUAAUUAGGCGACAUCGCUUGAUGUCCUCCUCUUUCUUUUCAUUUCCAAAAUUGAACCAUCAUUUCUGUCUUUGCAUUGCCCUUUUUUCAUCUGUAGCCAAUUUUCCAUACACAAAAGCUCUUCUCUUCUCUUCUUUAGAUUAAACCUGUCCAAGCUCUUGAAUGCUGCCUUCUGCUGAGUUAUACUAACAGGUACUUUACUUCCCUUUGCCUUUUUUUUUCUUUUUUAAACCUUACUGACAUCCAGAUACACCUCUCCAGUGGGGGAUGGGAAGAAAAAACCCCAACAGACUAAUUUGUAUUUAUUUACAUCUGUAUAUUUAACAGCCACAAACGAGGAUAUUCUGUAUGUGUGCGCUCAUAUCCAUAUUGAUUGUCACGGAAUUAUAUGUAUCAACUCUCAAACAGAAAGUCCCUUACAAUGCGAAGUCAUGGCAUAAAACAUUAAUGAAAAGAUUGUCUUCCAUUUCUGAACGGCUGGAAGAGGCUGGAGCAAAGACUGUAAUCAACCCCCAGGAAGGAAAUGUUUUUGCAACCCCAUCUAAGUGAGACACAUCACCUGGUGUGUCAGCCUUUUAACAGCAUUCCAAUAUCUAUAUGUAGGUGGCAGGACACAUGAAAUCAGUUUAGUGCCCUCCUCUGCCUGAAACAAACAACAGGGCCACAGGGAGCAUUGUGGAAAUGUGGCUAAAUAUUUGUCGGCUACUUUUAUAAGAGAAGGAAGGAGAGAAACCCUACCCCAGUAUCAUCAGGAGGUGAAGAAAACAUCCUUAAAAUCCUCUUGGUAAGUACAGCAUCAAAAGAGACUUUCAACACAUUUUUGACAGCUAAUUUCCUGAUGCGGGAGAUGAGUAGGUUCCCUGAAAUACGCCUGAAGAAAGUUUGGCUCUUGUCUUCACAGUUUGCAGAGCUGCAAAAGUUUCACUGUAGCAGAAGGGUAACCGGCAUACUUCACCAAGAGAGAAACACAGAGGAAAAAAUAAACCCCAAGCAUCAGCUGAUGAUGUUCUCUAAUUCUCUCCUUAUUCCAAACUGGAAGCAAACCAAAAGAAGGGAGACAAAGAAAGGAACAACCAACAUUUUGUAGCAAUCAAGUUUAUUAAACUCUGAGGGAGCGAGGCACAUAGCACAACGUUACGGUCACUGGGCACAGGAGGCUGAAGCACACCAGCAGUUAAAUCCUCUCCUUCCCCCUCCCUAGCUUUUAAGGAUGACAGAUUUUUAUCUCAGCAUGGCAGAAAAUGUGGUUCAAGGUUACCAGAGCCCCAGAGCGGGCAGAGACGAACCUCCCGGCAAACUGCCUGCAGCCCCUCCGCGGGCAUGGCGGGAGGCAAGGGAAGGCAGGAGGAAGAGUCCGAACCAUUGCCCGGCUGGUUGAGCAGAGAGCAAAACAAAAAUAUAAACAGGCUUGUAAGGUGAAAGUGAUGUAAGUCAGCAAUCAGAACAUCAUAUCAGAUAAGCUCUGAGGUUGGGACAAAUAAUGCCAUAAUCUAAUCUAACCUUCUAUAUAAUAUGCAGGCCAUAAAAUUUCAUUCAGACCAGGGAACACCAUAGUUACCAAUUCUGGGCCUCAUCAUUUUAUGGGAUUGUAAACAAUCUUCCUCAAAUUAAUUCCAUAUGAAGACCAGUAGCCUCCAACAGCUCUAAACAUCCUCUGAUUUCAUUUAUACCAUCUGACACCUACCUAAUUUUGAGCAGCAGUUCUCAUAUAAACAACCUCACUGGAGAAACCCCCCAGCAGCAACCAGACAGAUUCCCAGUGUAAACACGAGGUCAGCCAAAGUUUGAGGCAGCACGACACUGGCACAAACACAUGUGGAGGAUUCCCACUGUUAUUCCAAGGAUUUUAUGCCAGCAAUACAUGCAAUAACCCCCCGAAGCAGGUGGCAGAAUCUCUCUGGAAUUUCUUAACUGGAAAAAACCAUGUAGGAAUAGGUGUAUUUUAGUGCAUGGAGCAGGUUAGCAGUUUAACUUAAAGGCAAAAGAAGCCUCACAGUGACCUCUGAAUAAGACACCAACUUCCUUACUGCCUAUUUUUAUUUUUUUCCACCCUAUAAGCCCUUUCUACACACAAUGGAGACAAACUCUGCUCACUGCAGCAUAUCCAGCAAGAGCCAGGUGCUCACGAGGGCACAAGUCCUCUGCUGGAGGCUCCUGCUCCAAACCGGGCAGAACAGAAACCUGGAUUCCAGCCUCCCUUCUUUUAUAAGAUGCCCCAGCUCUUAUUUACCUAUUCCAGGGAGGCAUUUUGGGCACAUUUUGGUCAGAAGUUCUGUCCAAGACCCUCAGACACCUUUUUCUAACCAGAAAUUGUUUUCCUUUCCAAGUAGUUUCUCCCCAGCACAUCUGUCAUGGACAUUGUAGCUCUGGUAGAGGCCACAAGCCCCAUCAAAAAUCAUAACAGAAUCGAGACAAGAACUGUUCAAGAUAGAGGCAGAGAAAAAAGAUUAAGCUUUUCAAUUUCAAUUUCAUAUAAACUGACGGGCAAGCAAAGCAGACAACAAAAAAUGUCACCUUACAACUGUGCUGCAGGAGCUGGACUCCAUCCCUGACUCAGAUUAAUGGAUACUGACACCCAAUACUGACAUAACAAACAGUUUAUUCACAGCCUGGGGGACUUCUAGGGUUGUCAAGAAAGAAAACCAAAUCCUUAUCUUUUGCCCUACAAACGCGUAGCUGGGAAGAGCCAAAAUGCUGCACAAUAACAAGGAAGGAGACAUCGGCACACUCAGAGUCCUAACUCACACCUACAAUCGAUGGAAGGAAGGACUCAGCCUGGCACCUCCAACCCCGUCAUCAUCCCACACCUGAGGCACUGCAGUGCAAAAGCUAUUCAAAUAAAUAAAUAAAUAACAGCAGCAGCCCCAACAACUAAAACACGUUUAAAUAUCUUUACAACCUGUGACUGUUAAAUACAGCUGAAAGUGUUUUAAUCUAAGACUUCAGCCCACAGGGAACAGCCUCUCAAAAUCGGAGUGCAUCGGAGUUUAAAUUGUUUGAUAAAUUAGUAUAUAGCUCUACAUACCUUUGUACGGUGAAGGGAUUUGCAUCUACAGCUGAAGAUGUCUGCCAUCCCCCCCUCAGCCACUGAAGUUGUGCCAGUACAGCUGUUUUGGGGUUGCAGUGUUAUUUUUCCCUGCACCAGAGGCCAGACCCACCCCCUGGUUCGACUGGUGGUCCCCCAGGGCCAGCCUGGCCGAGUGAGGGGCAGGAUGACACACCACCAGGAUGGAGGUCCUAUCAAAUAACGUUGCUGCAGAGCUCCGUCACGUUUAACUACAGCCUAGAGCCCAAACGCAGCACAGAUUUACAAAUGCAGACAUUGAGUAUCCGUACUAGUAUCAACAGGUUUACACAAGAUGUAACAAGAGGUUAACCACUCAUCUAUGUAACUGGAGGUUCAGGGCUUAAGUAGAGCGUCCACUUGCAAGGACUUUGGUACCUUCCUCAUGUCUUUGCGGGACUGAGGUCUUCCCUGUUCAGCAAAACAGUUAAAAAUGAAAACACUCUUGUACUGUCCAAGUCAAGCAUCAAGUACAUGCAGAAUCAAACCAGUGAAAUAACUGAUCAAAGACUGAACAAUUACAAAAUAGCCCUGGAAAUAAAGUGUUGUGCCAGCACAUGGAACACAACACCAGCAGCCGAUGAGACAUUUCCCCAGAUUUUACAAGACUAUUUUGGAGAGUGCUGUUCUGUUAAUCAAGUGUUAAGACUACUGCAUUGUUUCACAAAACUUGAAGUGUAGUUCAGAACAACACACAUGCCUAGAGCUUUAAUAAAUACGGUUAAGAACAAUA
This is a long non-coding RNA of Columba livia (rock pigeon), 5689 nucleotides long. RefSeq lists it as uncharacterized. The record is from RefSeq and is a predicted model, not a curated record. The transcript is spliced from 2 exons. Lineage: Eukaryota; Metazoa; Chordata; Aves; Columbiformes; Columbidae.